Molecule: long non-coding RNA, 275 nt
Organism: Zophobas morio
Lineage: Eukaryota; Metazoa; Arthropoda; Insecta; Coleoptera; Tenebrionidae
Exons: 4
Source: RefSeq, a predicted model, not a curated record
UUUUAUCUUCACUUGCACUGUUUUGUCUAGAUUUUUCGAGGCCUUGAUAGUGUUACUCCAAAGUUAACAAAAGAAGGAGAUGAUCUAUUGCCUAUAGAUUUUACUUAUCUUCCUGGGUCUAUAAAACAUGCAAGAUUUUUGAGCAAAAAGUCGCACACUUUCAUCGUUCAGGAUAUAUCUGUGAUUAAAGAAGCUCUCAGGUAUUUAAACAGCUGCCGGGAAGGUGUCGACUCGCCUUACAUCUUUCCUUAUAGAGAACCUGACGCUGAUGCGGA